This 1404-nucleotide ribosomal RNA is filed under the name uncultured bacterium. RNAcentral's name for it is "bacterial SSU rRNA". It matches the Rfam family "Bacterial small subunit ribosomal RNA". The record is from RNAcentral.
AGAGUUUGAUCCUGGCUCAGGAUGAACGCUAGCGGCAGGCUUAACACAUGCAAGUCGAAGGGCAGCGAGGGGAGUGCUUGCACUCCCUGUCGGCGACUGGCGCACGGGUGAGUAACACGUAUGCAACCUGCCCUCCACAGGGGGACAACCUUCCGAAAGGGAGGCUAAUCCCGCGUAAAUCCCCCGGAGGCAUCUCCGGGGGAGGAAAACUCCGGUGGUGGAGGAUGGGCAUGCGGCGCAUUAGGCAGUCGGCGGGGUAACGGCCCACCGAACCGACGAUGCGUAGGGGUUCUGAGAGGAAGGUCCCCCACACUGGUACUGAGACACGGACCAGACUCCUACGGGAGGCAGCAGUGAGGAAUAUUGGUCAAUGGACGCGAGUCUGAACCAGCCAAGCCGCGUGAAGGAUUAAGGCCCUACGGGUCGUAAACUUCUUUUGCCAGGGAACAAAAGUGGGGACGUGUCCCCAUCUGCGUGUACCUGAAGAAAAAGCAUCGGCUAACUCCGUGCCAGCAGCCGCGGUAAUACGGAGGAUGCGAGCGUUAUCCGGAUUUAUUGGGUUUAAAGGGUGCGCAGGCGGUCUGUUAAGUCAGCGGUAAAAUUGCGGGGCUCAACCCCGUACAGCCGUUGAAACUGCCGGGCUCGAGUGGGCGAGAAGUAUGCGGAAUGCGUGGUGUAGCGGUGAAAUGCAUAGAUAUCACGCAGAACCCCGAUUGCGAAGGCAGCAUACCGGCGCCCGACUGACGCUGAGGCACGAAAGUGCGGGGAUCAAACAGGAUUAGAUACCCUGGUAGUCCGCACAGUAAACGAUGAAUGCUAGCUGUCCGGGGGGAUUGACCCCUGGGUGGCACAGCGAAAGCGUUAAGCAUUCCACCUGGGGAGUACGCCGGCAACGGUGAAACUCAAAGGAAUUGACGGGGGCCCGCACAAGCGGAGGAACAUGUGGUUUAAUUCGAUGAUACGCGAGGAACCUUACCCGGGCUCAAACGCCGAAGGGACAUUCCCCGAAAGGGGAUUGGCCAGCAAUGGUCUUCGGCGAGGUGCUGCAUGGUUGUCGUCAGCUCGUGCCGUGAGGUGUCGGCUUAAGUGCCAUAACGAGCGCAACCCCCACCGACAGUUGCUAACUGGUCAAGCAGAGGACUCUGUCGGGACUGCCGGCGCAAGCUGCGAGGAAGGCGGGGAUGACGUCAAAUCAGCACGGCCCUUACGUCCGGGGCGACACACGUGUUACAAUGGCAGGUACAGCGGGAUGCCAUGGGGCGACCCAGAGCGGAACCCGAAAACCUGUCUCAGUUCGGAUUGGAGUCUGCAACUCGACUCCAUGAAGCUGGAUUCGCUAGUAAUCGCGCAUCAGCCAUGGCGCGGUGAAUACGUUCCCGGGCCUUGCACUCACCGCCCGUCAAG